Molecule: non-coding RNA, 109 nt
Organism: Acanthosepion pharaonis
Lineage: Eukaryota; Metazoa; Mollusca; Cephalopoda; Sepiida; Sepiidae
Source: the annotation of a GenBank genome assembly
UAUGGCCACAUCACAUUGAAAUACCGGUUCUCCUACGAUCAUCGAAGUUAAGCGACAUCGAGCCUGGUCAGUACCUAGAUAGAUAACCGCUUGGGGAUACCAAUUGCUG